AGAACUCUGACGGCGGAGCCAAUUUCAGAUCCAAGAUGGAAGAUUGAAGAAAUUCAGUGGCUAGGGUUUGAAAGAGGGGAGAAUUAGGGUUAAAGGGGAGGAUAGGUUAAGAAAUGAAGGGGAGAGAAUAAUUUUUUUUAGAGAAGGGUCGGAGAGCUAGCUUCAUGCUUCAGGGGGGGAAAAAAGACAGAGAAUUGGGUUUUUUUUCUUCAUAGGAUUUUGAAAAGACUGAGACAAUCGUUGUUGAAGUCAGUGUUGUAAUGGUGAAUUCGGAUUUUUAAUGAAGUGGGUUUGAUUACUCUUGACUGUUUUGAGAAAUCGAGUUACAUCUGUGAUGAAGAAUUAAAAGGGUGUCUAUAGGAUUGAGUAUGCGGAGUGAAUGAAAUUUAUUGGAUUAAUCUAACAAGACAGUCAGUGGAUACAAGAUCGUGAGUAUAAAGCGGUAUCAAAGAU
RNAcentral lists this long non-coding RNA (453 nucleotides) under Physcomitrium patens. RNAcentral describes it as "long non-coding RNA (PPAT_LNC014195)". The record is from RNAcentral. Lineage: Eukaryota; Viridiplantae; Streptophyta; Bryopsida; Funariales; Funariaceae.